UAUAGGGCGUACAUAGUUGGAAUAUAGUAGUAUACGAGUCAAAAUGUAAUAGUUAUAUAGUACAAUAUACAAUAGCUAUAUAAUAGAAAUAUGACAGGUAUGCUACUGCAUACAAUACAGAUAUGAGGACUGAUAUGUGUGUUGGGUAUGAGUAUCAAAAAGGCAUCCGGAAUCGAGUAUCAACCUAGCAAGUAUCGGCCCCAAGGAUUGUGCGCAACAUCCAGGUGAAUGAGGCCUCAUUGCCGAUGGGGGUCCAGGCCACCCCGAACCAGGUUUAGGUUCAGAGUUUAGGUUUCCUUCUUCUUUCAUUUUUGAGGGUCCAGGUUAGGGUUUAGGUUCACUUCUUCUUUUAUUUUUAUUUUUUGUUUAUUUUUUAUCCUAUUUUUUUAUUUUAUACUUUGUGCGUGAGCUUCGACACCUACGGCGUUGUUCUCUUCUUUGGUGUACUGUGGAGGAGCUCGGAGCUUGGUGAAGAGGGUGCUACAGUGCAACUCAAGUUUCGAUAAUUCCUUCGUGUGACGGUGGUGGCGUAAAGUCGAUUAUCGACAGCCACAAGUUUUUUUUGUCUUCCUUUUGUUAAACUUCCGGGUAGCCACUGUUAUGGCAUCCUACAUGUAGUCGUGAUGUCCUUGCUAGUGCAACACUCUAGCAGUGAUCCGUGGUGGAUCAGUUCACGGAUCCUUUCCACAUUUUUAUUGCUGCUCAUUCAGCUAGAGCUAGCAUUGUGAGAGGACUGCAUUGACUCGUUGUAGAAGGCUGGUAUCGCGUGGCUCUCUUGCGGUGCGGCAUUGAUUCAUUUGGUUCAGCAAGGCUGCGGGGUUACGAUGAGGGCGAUUGGUUUUGGUUUGUCUUUGUUUUUAUUGAUUCAACACUACGUCUUCAAAACUUUGCGACUGAACAAGGGAGUUGAAUCUCCUUGCGUCACAUGGUUGUAAUUCAUUGCUAGCGGCACUUGUGCCAGUAGUUCUUAAUUGAUAUUACCUCCGUAGUUCAGUGCCGUCUUCUUCCUUCCCUCAGCAUUAGUGGCGCUGUGAAGAAGGGUGGACUUGAAGCUCGUAGACUCUCUUUAAUAAUCUAUAGUGGUUGUAUGCACUAAGGCCUCUUCAAGUUGGCGGAAUCCAAAGUGAGGCGUGGUGUCAAUGUUGGAAGUCAUCAUCAUAUUCAAAAGCAUUGUUGAUUAGUUGCUACGCGGUUGAGUAGUUGUGUCGAAUCCAAUUUGGAUUCCUUAGUCAAGUCAAACUAGUGGAGUUCAAACUAUCGAUGAGACUCGACGCUUCCAAGACAAGUGCUGUUGAACUGAUUCAAGUCGUCGUUAUAUUUGCGUUGUUGCAACCAAUACUCAAUCAGGACAAUUUGUGGUGCCUUGCUCCAAUUCUAUCUCAUUUGCAAUACAUUAGUAAUAUCUUAAGUAGUAAGAAGAACUGUAGCGGUAACAAAGGUAUACAAUAUAGUUGUAGUAAGAGUAGACGUAGGAAGCUUAGAAAGUAUUGGUAAUAUUUAGUACAAAUCCACAUUCAUAGCGAUGGUGCGUGGUUAGUACGGCGGUACUGUAAAGGUCAGUUUUAGUAUUGCUUUUAUUUUAGUUCUAUUUUGUCGAUCUAGCAUCAUAAGCAACAAUUCAUAAGAUAGCAAGUGAGCAAAGAAAGACCAAGCCGAAGCAUCUGAGCUCACAUCUUGAGAAUUGGUGAUUAAGCUGCUAUGACUAAGGUGUUUGACAAGAUUGUUCAUGAGGCCAACUAUGGCUGCGCAUGCUUCUAAUAAUAAGAACUGUCCGAACGAUUGUUGUAGCCAAAUUCAAAUGUGGGACUGGCGCAAGGACGGAUGGUCGGAGUGAAGGUUCAAAGGUGA
Physcomitrium patens is the source of this 1848-nucleotide non-coding RNA. Lineage: Eukaryota; Viridiplantae; Streptophyta; Bryopsida; Funariales; Funariaceae. The record is from RefSeq and is a predicted model, not a curated record.